This 1115-nucleotide ribosomal RNA is filed under the name Staphylococcus aureus. Its description in RNAcentral is "bacterial SSU rRNA". It matches the Rfam family "Bacterial small subunit ribosomal RNA", at positions 1 to 1094 of the family's 1533-position model. The record is from RNAcentral. Lineage: Bacteria; Bacillati; Bacillota; Bacilli; Caryophanales; Staphylococcaceae.
UUUUAUGGAGAGUUUGAUCCUGGCUCAGGAUGAACGCUGGCGGCGUGCCUAAUACAUGCAAGUCGAGCGAACGGACGAGAAGCUUGCUUCUCUGAUGUUAGCGGCGGACGGGUGAGUAACACGUGGAUAACCUACCUAUAAGACUGGGAUAACUUCGGGAAACCGGAGCUAAUACCGGAUAAUAUUUUGAACCGCAUGGUUCAAAAGUGAAAGACGGUCUUGCUGUCACUUAUAGAUGGAUCCGCGCUGCAUUAGCUAGUUGGUAAGGUAACGGCUUACCAAGGCAACGAUGCAUAGCCGACCUGAGAGGGUGAUCGGCCACACUGGAACUGAGACACGGUCCAGACUCCUACGGGAGGCAGCAGUAGGGAAUCUUCCGCAAUGGGCGAAAGCCUGACGGAGCAACGCCGCGUGAGUGAUGAAGGUCUUCGGAUCGUAAAACUCUGUUAUUAGGGAAGAACAUAUGUGUAAGUAACUGUGCACAUCUUGACGGUACCUAAUCAGAAAGCCACGGCUAACUACGUGCCAGCAGCCGCGGUAAUACGUAGGUGGCAAGCGUUAUCCGGAAUUAUUGGGCGUAAAGCGCGCGUAGGCGGUUUUUUAAGUCUGAUGUGAAAGCCCACGGCUCAACCGUGGAGGGUCAUUGGAAACUGGAAAACUUGAGUGCAGAAGAGGAAAGUGGAAUUCCAUGUGUAGCGGUGAAAUGCGCAGAGAUAUGGAGGAACACCAGUGGCGAAGGCGACUUUCUGGUCUGUAACUGACGCUGAUGUGCGAAAGCGUGGGGAUCAAACAGGAUUAGAUACCCUGGUAGUCCACGCCGUAAACGAUGAGUGCUAAGUGUUAGGGGGUUUCCGCCCCUUAGUGCUGCAGCUAACGCAUUAAGCACUCCGCCUGGGGAGUACGACCGCAAGGUUGAAACUCAAAGGAAUUGACGGGGACCCGCACAAGCGGUGGAGCAUGUGGUUUAAUUCGAAGCAACGCGAAGAACCUUACCAAAUCUUGACAUCCUUUGACAACUCUAGAGAUAGAGCCUUCCCCUUCGGGGGACAAAGUGACAGGUGGUGCAUGGUUGUCGUCAGCUCGUGUCGUGAGAUGUUGGGUUAAGUCCCGCAACG